RNAcentral lists this ribosomal RNA (466 nucleotides) under uncultured bacterium. RNAcentral's name for it is "partial 16S ribosomal RNA". It matches the Rfam family "Bacterial small subunit ribosomal RNA", at positions 28 to 507 of the family's 1533-position model. The record is from RNAcentral.
GACGAACGCUGGCGGCGCGCCUAACACAUGCAAGUCGAACGAGCGAGAGAGAGCUUGCUUUCUCAAGCGAGUGGCGAACGGGUGAGUAACGCGUGAGGAACCUGCCUCAAAGAGGGGGACAACAGUUGGAAACGACUGCUAAUACCGCAUAAGCCCACGACCCGGCAUCGGGGAGAGGGAAAAGGAGCGAUCCGCUUUGAGAUGGCCUCGCGUCCGAUUAGCUAGUUGGUGAGGUAACGGCCCACCAAGGCGACGAUCGGUAGCCGGACUGAGAGGUUGAACGGCCACAUUGGGACUGAGACACGGCCCAGACUCCUACGGGAGGCAGCAGUGGGGAAUAUUGCACGAUGGGGGAAACCCUGAUGCAGCGACGCCGCGUGGAGGAAGAAGGUCUUCGGAUUGUAAACUCCUGUUGUUGAGGAAGAUAAUGACGGUACUCAACAAGGAAGUGACGGCUAACUACGUG